AGCGAACGCUGGCGGCAGGCUUAACACAUGCAAGUCGAGCGGGCGUAGCAAUACGUCAGCGGCAGACGGGUGAGUAACGCGUGGGAACGUACCUUUUGGUUCGGAACAACACAGGGAAACUUGUGCUAAUACCGGAUAAGCCCUUACGGGGAAAGAUUUAUCGCCGAAAGAUCGGCCCGCGUCUGAUUAGCUAGUUGGUGAGGUAAUGGCUCACCAAGGCGACGAUCAGUAGCUGGUCUGAGAGGAUGAUCAGCCACAUUGGGACUGAGACACGGCCCAAACUCCUACGGGAGGCAGCAGUGGGGAAUAUUGGACAAUGGGGGCAACCCUGAUCCAGCCAUGCCGCGUGAGUGAUGAAGGCCCUAGGGUUGUAAAGCUCUUUUGUGCGGGAAGAUAAUGA
RNAcentral lists this ribosomal RNA (400 nucleotides) under Bradyrhizobium sp. KS17C. Its description in RNAcentral is "bacterial SSU rRNA". It matches the Rfam family "Bacterial small subunit ribosomal RNA", at positions 29 to 454 of the family's 1533-position model. The record is from RNAcentral. Lineage: Bacteria; Pseudomonadati; Pseudomonadota; Alphaproteobacteria; Hyphomicrobiales; Nitrobacteraceae.